UAACAUACAAUUUUUAAUGGAAAUUACAGUCAAUAGCUUUCAAACAAACUAUAAUUAGGAAUCUAACUAAAAAAAAUAAAAAAGUCUCUAACAUUCCUGCAAUAUAUACUAUAUUGCCCUCACUAUUUAUUUAUUUUAUUUUUUGUUUUAUUUUCUUUCGGUAACUACUCCUAACUUUUGGUAACUACUCCUAACUAUUAUUGUUUUUCCAUAACCACAUACACUUCAUCUUCGACCAUCCUAUCAUCACCAUGGCACCAUCAUAAUACUUCUUUAUAUCCACGAUCACGGUUUCUCCGAAACCACAACCACCAGUUGCUUUAUAACCACUAUCGCUGAUCCGGUAACCGUCGCCGCUCCGGUCGCUGAUCCGGUAACCUCGCCGCUCCGGUAACCGCUGUCACUGCUGUAGCUACCACCACCACAUGUGUCUCUACCGUCGCAAUAAUCAUCACCUCUUCCGUAAUCUCCAUCAACUUCUUCAUGAACACAUCCAUCACAUGUCCACCAUUAUCAUAGCCACCAAGACCACCACUAACUCUGUAACCUCUGCUACAUCUUUCCAAUCUACCCAAUGAUUCUUCGAUCGUAACCACCAUC
This 600-nucleotide long non-coding RNA is filed under the name Brassica napus (rape). RNAcentral's name for it is "long non-coding RNA (BNAP_LNC004899)". Lineage: Eukaryota; Viridiplantae; Streptophyta; Magnoliopsida; Brassicales; Brassicaceae. The record is from RNAcentral.